RNAcentral lists this ribosomal RNA (419 nucleotides) under uncultured bacterium. RNAcentral's name for it is "bacterial SSU rRNA". It matches the Rfam family "Bacterial small subunit ribosomal RNA", at positions 340 to 752 of the family's 1533-position model. The record is from RNAcentral.
UACGGAAGGCAGCAGUGGGGAAUAUUGCACAAUGGGCGCAAGCCUGAUGCAGCCAUGCCGCGUGUAUGAAGAAGGCCUUCGGGUUGUAAAGUACUUUCAGCGGGGAGGAAGGCGGUGGAGUUAAUAGCUUCACCGAUUGACGUUACCCGCAGAAGAAGCACCGGCUAACUCCGUGCCAGCAGCCGCGGUAAUACGGAGGGUGCAAGCGUUAAUCGGAAUUACUGGGCGUAAAGCGCACGCAGGCGGUCUGUCAAGUCGGAUGUGAAAUCCCCGGGCUUAACCUGGGAACUGCAUUCGAAACUGGCAGGCUAGAGUCUUGUAGAGGGGGUGAAUUCCAGGUGUAGCGGUGAAAUGCGUAGAGAUCUGGAGGAAUACCGGUGGCGAAGGCGGCCCCUGGGACAAAGACUGACGCUCAGGGU